RNAcentral lists this long non-coding RNA (829 nucleotides) under Gallus gallus (chicken). The record is from RNAcentral. Lineage: Eukaryota; Metazoa; Chordata; Aves; Galliformes; Phasianidae.
UGCCACCCUCACCUUGCUUCUUCGGGGCAAACUUCUCAGGAGGGAGUUUCACAUAUGUAUUCUGAAUUCCAUAGAUUUCAUCAAUCAGCCCUUCGUAUGUCAGCUGUGUGGCUAACGGUGUCAGCAGAUCAACAUUGCGGUCCAGCAACAAGAGGGUAUCAAAGACUGGAAAUAUUGAGUUCUGGCUUCCAGGGAACUCACGCUUCAUUCUGAUCAUCAUGUUAGCUACGUGCUGAAAGGAAAACACAUUGGUCUGGUUGUGGUACAAGCCAUGACAGAUGGAUUUGACUUCUAGGCUGUAUAGGCAUGUGCAAAUAUGGGGGCACGAUCCUGUAUAAAGGAAGAGAACAAGAGGUACAAACUGGCUGUCAGGUGGGGGCAGGACAAGGCAAGAAAAUCAGAGCCCUUUGCUGCUACUCUCUGCAGCUUAGCAGGGCAGCAACUGUGGCCAAAGCACUGGCUUCCUCUCAAGCUGCUUCCUCAUUACAAAAGGUACCAGUUAAACUAUAGGUUAAUCAGAGAGGAAAAAGGGAGAGAAGGAAAAGACAGUGCAUGAGCAGUAGACUGUACAUUUACAGCUUUAUUCAGCCCUGAUGGUAAUGGAGUGGGUAAGCGUUAAAUUCCAUAGAAGGAACUGCUGAAAGCACAAAGGUAGCGCACUGAUGAGCAAAACCUAAAAUCAGAUAACCCUGACAGGAAGCCUUACGAAACAGCAAUAAUUAUCCUUUUGACCACAGAUAAUGACAACCUGAUGGCUGUGAUCCUGAAAUUCCAAUAUUACAAGAAUACAUGUCUGGAUUCAAAAACAAACUCCACAGAUGACAUUCAG